Molecule: ribosomal RNA, 235 nt
Filed under: uncultured bacterium
Lineage: Bacteria
Description: partial 16S ribosomal RNA
Rfam family: Bacterial small subunit ribosomal RNA
Source: RNAcentral
CCGGGGGUGGAGUAACGCGUGGAUAACCUGCCUCACACUGGGGGAUAACAGUUAGAAAUGACUGCUAAUACCGCAUAAGCGCACAGUACCGCAUGGUACAGUGUGAAAAACUCCGGUGGUGUGAGAUGGAUCCGCGUCUGAUUAGCCAGUUGGCGGGGUAACGGCCCACCAAAGCGACGAUCAGUAGCCGACCUGAGAGGGUGACCGGCCACAUUGGGACUGAGACACGGCCCAA